AUGGUUAGUCUGUCUUUUCGCGCGUGGUAUUUCAGUUGGGUGGAUCGCUUCAUAGGCUGUUCUGCAGGAUUCAACACGUCGUUUUCAUAUAUUUUGUGGUCUCUGGUGUGGGGCAGCCGUGUCUUUUUGCUUGCAGUAUCGACACUGUCUCAUAUGUGCAUUGUUCUUGUUGGCAAAUUGGUCAUAGCGCAGUUGAAGUCUCCGGAUCUAGCAAAGAGGUUUGGGAACUGGUUUUGCAGAGGUGCAGGACUGCCUGUUUCGAUUUCGGUUGGUAGGUGCUAUGUUUCCUGUUUUGGGGCAUGA
This is a non-coding RNA of Vicia faba (fava bean), 303 nucleotides long. NCBI's taxonomy places the organism in Eukaryota, Viridiplantae, Streptophyta, Magnoliopsida, Fabales, Fabaceae. The record is from the annotation of a GenBank genome assembly.